GGAAGGCAUCCGUGCCCGGCGGCACGGCUGGGCUUCAAACCCAGUUGGGGGCGUCAGACGUUCCCAGGUAGGUUCGACUCCUGCUGCCUUCCGCCA
Molecule: transfer RNA, 96 nt
Filed under: Achromobacter denitrificans
Lineage: Bacteria; Pseudomonadati; Pseudomonadota; Betaproteobacteria; Burkholderiales; Alcaligenaceae
Also listed under: 9 other names
Description: tRNA-seC(tca)
Rfam family: Selenocysteine transfer RNA
Source: RNAcentral